GUUGUGGUUAAAAGCUCGUAGUUGAACCUUGGGCCUGGCUGGCCGGUCCGCCUCACCGCGUGCACUGGUCCGGCCGGGCCUUUCCCUCUGCGGAACCCCAUGCCCUUCACUGGGUGUGGCGGGGAAACAGGACUUUUACUUUGAAAAAAUUAGAGUGCUCAAGGCAGGCCUAUGCUCGAAUACAUUAGCAUGGAAUAAUAGAAUAGGACGUGUGGUUCUAUUUUGUUGGUUUCUAGGACCGCCGUAAUGAUUAAUAGGGACAGUCGGGGGCAUCAGUAUUCAAUUGUCAGAGGUGAAAUUCUUGGAUUUAUUGAAGACUAACUACUGCGAAAGCAUUUGCCAAGGAUGUUUUCAUUAAUCAGGAACGAAAGUUAGGGGAUCGAAGACGAUCAGAUACCGUCGUAGUCUUAACCAUAAACUAUGCCGACUAGGGAUCGGACGAUGUUACAUUUUUGACGCGUUCGGCACCUUACGAGAAAUCAAAGUGCUUGGGCUCCAGGGGGAGUAUGGUCGCAAGGCUGAAACUUAAAGAAAUUGACGGAAGGGCACCACCAGGGGUGGAGCCUGCGGCUUAAUUUGACUCAACACGGGGAAACUCACCAGGUCCAGACACAAUGAGGAUUGACAGAUUGAGAGCUCUUUCUUGAUUUUGUGGGUGGUGGUGCAUGGGCCGUUCUUAGUUGGUGGAGUGAUUUGUCUGCUUAAUUGCGAUAACGAACGAGACCUUAACCUGCUAAAUAGCCCGUAUUGCUUUGGCAGUACGCUGGCUUCUUAGAGGGACUAUCGGCUCAGCCGAUGGAGUUUGAGCAUAACAGUCUGUGAUGCCCUUUAGAUGUCUGGGCGCACGCGCGCUACACUGAC
This 861-nucleotide ribosomal RNA is filed under the name uncultured fungus. Its description in RNAcentral is "SSU rRNA". It matches the Rfam family "Eukaryotic small subunit ribosomal RNA", at positions 612 to 1507 of the family's 1831-position model. The record is from RNAcentral. Lineage: Eukaryota; Fungi.